Molecule: small nucleolar RNA, 83 nt
Filed under: Propithecus coquereli (Coquerel's sifaka)
Lineage: Eukaryota; Metazoa; Chordata; Mammalia; Primates; Indriidae
Description: Small nucleolar RNA SNORD60 (ENSPCOG00000008671.1)
Rfam family: Small nucleolar RNA SNORD60
About the family: U60 belongs to the C/D class of snoRNA which contain the C (UGAUGA) and D (CUGA) box motifs. Most of the members of the box C/D family function in directing site-specific 2'-O-methylation of substrate RNAs.
Source: Rfam by way of RNAcentral
AGCCUGUGAUGAAUUGCUUUAAUUUCUGACACCUCAUUUGAAAGCUGCAUGUGCAGUCUGAUUAUUUUGCAAAUGUGAGGCUU